Molecule: unclassified non-coding RNA, 379 nt
Filed under: fungal sp.
Lineage: Eukaryota; Fungi
Description: partial internal transcribed spacer region
Rfam family: Eukaryotic small subunit ribosomal RNA (bases 1-46)
Source: RNAcentral
AAGUCGUAACAAGGUAUCCGUAGGUGAACCUGCGGAUGGAUCAUUAUCAAAAUAUUAUAACGUUUUUCCAAAAACGUUUAUAUAAACCAAUCUGUGAACUGUUCUCUGCCUUUGAGAGUAAGAGUUUUUGAAUGAUAGGUCAUUGGGUCUGAUAGUGAAACCAAUCCUUUCAUUUAUUCUAUGAUUCAUUUCAUAGAAUGCUUUUAUCUUUCAAAGUGUAUAAAUUUCACUAUUACUUAUUAACCAAUUAAACCAAAUAAUUAUUAUAUUUUCUAUGUGUGAACUGAAUUGUUUUCUUACUCUUACUAAUACUGAGAGAAGAAAUCUAUUCUACGAAACAUAUACAGAACAACUCUUAGCAACGGAUAUCUUGGUUCUC